AGCGAACGGACGAGAAGCUUGCUUCUCUGAUGUUAGCGGCGGACGGGUGAGUAACACGUGGAUAACCUACCUAUAAGACUGGGAUAACUUCGGGAAACCGGAGCUAAUACCGGAUAAUAUUUUGAACCGCAUGGUUCGAAAGUGAAAGACGGUCUUGCUGUCACUUAUAGAUGGAUCUGCGCUGCAUUAGCUAGUUGGUAAGGUAACGGCUUACCAAGGCAACGAUGCAUAGCCGACCUGAGAGGGUGAUCGGCCACACUGGAACUGAGACACGGUCCAGACUCCUACGGGAGGCAGCAGUUAGGGAAUCUUCCGCAAUGGGCGAAAGCCUGACGGAGCAACGCCGCGUGAGUGAUGAAGGUCUUCGGAUCGUAAAACUCUGUUAUUAGGGAAGAACAUAUGUGUAAGUAACUGUGCACAUCUUGACGGUACCUAAUCAGAAAGCCACGGCUGACUACGUGCCAGCAGCCGCGGUAAUACGUAGGUGGCAAGCGUUAUCCGGAAUUAUUGGGCGUAAAGCGCGCGUAGGCGGUUUUUUAAGUCUGAUGUGAAAGCCCACGGCUCAACCGUGGAGGGUCAUUGGAAACUGGAGAACUUGAGUGCAGAAGAGGAAAGUGGAAUUCCAUGUGUAGCGGUGAAAUGCGCAGAGAUAUGGAGGAACACCAGUGGCGAAGGCGACUUUCUGGUCUGUAACUGACGCUGAUGUGCGAAA
This 712-nucleotide ribosomal RNA is filed under the name uncultured Staphylococcus sp. RNAcentral's name for it is "bacterial SSU rRNA". It matches the Rfam family "Bacterial small subunit ribosomal RNA", at positions 65 to 758 of the family's 1533-position model. The record is from RNAcentral. Lineage: Bacteria; Bacillati; Bacillota; Bacilli; Caryophanales; Staphylococcaceae.